Molecule: long non-coding RNA, 216 nt
Filed under: Elaeis guineensis (African oil palm)
Lineage: Eukaryota; Viridiplantae; Streptophyta; Magnoliopsida; Arecales; Arecaceae
Description: long non-coding RNA (EGUI_LNC082360)
Source: RNAcentral
CCUUCCUUCCCUUACCUGUGUGCACGAUCGCUGACGACCGGGUUCAUCGAAUUUUAUUGGGAAAAAAGUCUUCUAUUUUUGCCCCUCUUUUCUUUGGUUUUUCGAUGUCGGUGGUCACCACCGACCAUCAGUUUGACUUCUUUCGAGUUGUAUCGUUGCAGCCCCUCCUGCUGCUGACCACCGUCGCACCGACCAUACUUCUGAUCGACCGAACAA